Molecule: ribosomal RNA, 517 nt
Filed under: uncultured bacterium
Lineage: Bacteria
Description: partial 16S ribosomal RNA
Rfam family: Bacterial small subunit ribosomal RNA
Source: RNAcentral
AACGAACGCUGGCGGCGUGGAUAAGACAUGCGAGUCGAACGAGAACUUUCGCUGUAGCAAUACAGUGGAAGUUCUAGUGGCGAACGGGUGCGUAACACGUGGGCAAUCUGCCUUAAAGUGGGGGAUAGCUCGGCGAAAGCCGGAUUAAUACCGCAUGUGAUUACCGGAGACAUCUUCGGAACAUCAAAGUCGGGGCAACCUGACGCUUUUUGAGGAGCCCGCGGCCUAUCAGCUUGUUGGUGAGGUAACGGCUCACCAAGGCGUUGACGGGUAGCUGGUCUGAGAGGACGACCAGUCACACUGGAACUGAGACACGGUCCAGACACCUACGGGUGGCAGCAGUCGAGAAUUUUUCUCAAUGGGGGAAACCCUGAAGGAGCGACGCCGCGUGGAGGAUGAAGGUCUUCGGGUUGUAAACUCCUGUCAUUUGGGAACAAUGCUUACGUAUUAACUGUACGUGAGUUGAUAGUACCAGAAGAGGAAGAGACGGCUAACUCUGUGCCAGCCGCCGCGGUAA